CGGACGAGCUCGCGCGCUCCCGGAAUCUUCAUGCGUUCGAUCCGCUGGAGGCGCGAGGUGCCCGCUGUAUUGUACGUGACGGGUGAGGACAGUUAAUGUGCGUACGUAACGGGCAAGAGACGUUGGUGGCGCGGGCGUUAGACGAGGAUUUCACGGUGUUUAUUUAACGCGUCGUUUGUCUACUGUUCUGGACUUGUGUGUACCGGAAGUACGAGAUGGCCUGUAACGGUGAGGUACAGUAAGUAGUUGGCCGGCCCACUGGAUGUAUUUAACGCAAUCCAUGGGUGCUUCUGGAUCUGGUCCCCAUUCGAUCCGCAAAUCGCAAGACGAAACCCUAGACUCGCCCCACAGUUUCUUCUAGGUCGUCCCAAAUCGGAGAAGAUAGAACCCUAGGUAUCGAAGAUGGCAGAUCCAGUAGCGGAUCCAGCUGCUCUGCCAAUCGUGCCUUGUCCGGAUUGCGGCAGGAACGUGGUGACCUACGUUGCUAGGCGCGGGAAGAACGCCGGUCAGCGUUUCUACAAGUGCCGGAAUCACAACCCUUCAGCGGGCGGAUGCGAUUUCUACAGGUGGCAGGAUGGCUAUGCGGCGCAUCUCGCCAAUCUUGAAGGAGGAGAAGCUGUUGUGGGUCAAAUCGGUCGAGGUCAGAUGUAGGGUGGGCAAGCGGUCUAAGCUCAAGUUGUGCAGGCGCUUCACGGCUAGCCGGUGCAGCAAAAUGGGCCGCCGGAGGCGUCGCAAGCUGCAUCGUUUGCAAGUGCGGUUGCAGGAUAUAUGCUCGCGGCUGCUCCAGUUGCCGGUCGGCAGGGUGUGACCGUCGCCGACGCCGCCUCCAUCAACCUGGUGGUAUCAGUAGCAAACCUGAUAAUUGGGGUGGCAAUUCUGCUGUUGCUUGUGGCAGAUGUUGUCCUGCGCGUGGUUAAUUAGGCGAUGUGGCCGUUCUUAUGUGGCCGAGAUGGCAGCGUGGUUAAUUAGGAUUAGGCUUAGUGUUAUGUAAUAGUACGUUAUGAUUUUGUAGUUGGUCGAAGCGUGGACGCCAAGUGUGAGUGACGAUGUAACCAUGUAGUGCUAAGUGUGGACGAGCUGCAGAUGUAAUGUCGUGUUAUCUAAAUGCUAUGGAUGAGCUGAUGGUUUGAUGCCUACGGUGUGUGAAAUAUGUCGUUUUUUAUUCUGUCAGAAUGGGAGUUAGGAGAGAAGGCUUUUUAGAAUGAAUGUCAUUUUUCUUUUUUGGAUUUUAAGUCGUGAUUUGUAGGAGCUGGCGUGCAUGUCUGAAACGGAUGGUCACCAAGAGGGUUAACCAUUGUUUGUAUGCAGAUAUUCCGGCAUAAUUUUUUU
Aegilops tauschii subsp. strangulata is the source of this 1329-nucleotide long non-coding RNA. RefSeq lists it as uncharacterized. NCBI's taxonomy places the organism in Eukaryota, Viridiplantae, Streptophyta, Magnoliopsida, Poales, Poaceae. The record is from RefSeq and is a predicted model, not a curated record.